This 386-nucleotide long non-coding RNA is filed under the name Lathyrus oleraceus (garden pea). Its description in RNAcentral is "Pisum sativum (pea) long non-coding RNA (PSAT_LNC009907)". Lineage: Eukaryota; Viridiplantae; Streptophyta; Magnoliopsida; Fabales; Fabaceae. The record is from RNAcentral.
CUCUCUCCACUAGGUCAUUCAUGAUUAUUUGCUAUCUUAAUGCUAAUUCGGAUAAGUAAACCAGAAUAGAUUAAAAUUAAAAUUAAAAAUAAAAACUAAGAUAAAAUAGUCUGUUGGACUACCAAUUAAAAGUGGAAAAAAAACAAGAAAUUAAACCCAGCCGCCUGGCUGUUGGGUUCUAGAGGCUAAUGGAUUGGGAAUAACAAAAAGCAAAACAUUACUAUACACCAAUUAAUAAAAAGCAGAGGAAUACUAAACACUAAACGUAUUCAUUAAAAAAAUUUAUGGUUUAAAGCAUUUGUUUCAUUUAAAUAAAAAGGAUAAAAUAAGAAGAUGUGAAGUACAGUAACGAAAAAAAAAACCUCUCGUCGUCCUCACUUGCGUUC